Molecule: ribosomal RNA, 1539 nt
Filed under: Staphylococcus aureus
Lineage: Bacteria; Bacillati; Bacillota; Bacilli; Caryophanales; Staphylococcaceae
Description: partial 16S ribosomal RNA
Rfam family: Bacterial small subunit ribosomal RNA
Source: RNAcentral
UGAUCCUGGCUCAGGAUGAACGCUGGCGGCGUGCCUAAUACAUGCAAGUCGAGCGAACGGACGAGAAGCUUGCUUCUCUGAUGUUAGCGGCGGACGGGUGAGUAACACGUGGAUAACCUACCUAUAAGACUGGGAUAACUUCGGGAAACCGGAGCUAAUACCGGAUAAUAUUUUGAACCGCAUGGUUCAAAAGUGAAAGACGGUCUUGCUGUCACUUAUAGAUGGAUCCGCGCUGCAUUAGCUAGUUGGUAAGGUAACGGCUUACCAAGGCAACGAUGCAUAGCCGACCUGAGAGGGUGAUCGGCCACACUGGAACUGAGACACGGUCCAGACUCCUACGGGAGGCAGCAGUAGGGAAUCUUCCGCAAUGGGCGAAAGCCUGACGGAGCAACGCCGCGUGAGUGAUGAAGGUCUUCGGAUCGUAAAACUCUGUUAUUAGGGAAGAACAUAUGUGUAAGUAACUGUGCACAUCUUGACGGUACCUAAUCAGAAAGCCACGGCUAACUACGUGCCAGCAGCCGCGGUAAUACGUAGGUGGCAAGCGUUAUCCGGAAUUAUUGGGCGUAAAGCGCGCGUAGGCGGUUUUUUAAGUCUGAUGUGAAAGCCCACGGCUCAACCGUGGAGGGUCAUUGGAAACUGGAAAACUUGAGUGCAGAAGAGGAAAGUGGAAUUCCAUGUGUAGCGGUGAAAUGCGCAGAGAUAUGGAGGAACACCAGUGGCGAAGGCGACUUUCUGGUCUGUAACUGACGCUGAUGUGCGAAAGCGUGGGGAUCAAACAGGAUUAGAUACCCUGGUAGUCCACGCCGUAAACGAUGAGUGCUAAGUGUUAGGGGGUUUCCGCCCCUUAGUGCUGCAGCUAACGCAUUAAGCACUCCGCCUGGGGAGUACGACCGCAAGGUUGAAACUCAAAGGAAUUGACGGGGACCCGCACAAGCGGUGGAGCAUGUGGUUUAAUUCGAAGCAACGCGAAGAACCUUACCAAAUCUUGACAUCCUUUGACAACUCUAGAGAUAGAGCUUUCCCCUUCGGGGGACAAAGUGACAGGUGGUGCAUGGUUGUCGUCAGCUCGUGUCGUGAGAUGUUGGGUUAAGUCCCGCAACGAGCGCAACCCUUAAGCUUAGUUGCCAUCAUUAAGUUGGGCACUCUAAGUUGACUGCCGGUGACAAACCGGAGGAAGGUGGGGAUGACGUCAAAUCAUCAUGCCCCUUAUGAUUUGGGCUACACACGUGCUACAAUGGACAAUACAAAGGGCAGCGAAACCGCGAGGUCAAGCAAAUCCCAUAAAGUUGUUCUCAGUUCGGAUUGUAGUCUGCAACUCGACUACAUGAAGCUGGAAUCGCUAGUAAUCGUAGAUCAGCAUGCUACGGUGAAUACGUUCCCGGGUCUUGUACACACCGCCCGUCACACCACGAGAGUUUGUAACACCCGAAGCCGGUGGAGUAACCUUUUAGGAGCUAGCCGUCGAAGGUGGGACAAAUGAUUGGGGUGAAGUCGUAACAAGGUAGCCGUAUCGGAAGGUGCGGCUGGAUCACCUCCUUU